ACUUCAGCGACGGACUGGAAAAAGAGGAGUGGGAGUUAAGCAGCAGGCCCUCGCGCAAGCCAGCAGCUGCAGCCUGAAUGAUACUGAAGCGCGACCGCCGGUCAAACUGGAGGAAAAAUGGCGGAGGCUCUCAUCCGGGGUUCUCCAUGUUUCUUCCCACCUCUCAAAAACAUGCCACUUGAUGGAUGGGAUUAAGUGACCCCUGGUGUAAAUGUGUGUGUAAGUGUGUAUGUGCAUGGUGCCCUCGGCCUGGACCUGGACCGGUGUGUCACUCGGGUGUAUUAACAGCAUUUACUGUAAAUGAGUCCCUCAAUAAAAUAAAAAUAAAAGCAAACAAAUUUUA
This is a long non-coding RNA of Silurus meridionalis, 343 nucleotides long. RefSeq lists it as uncharacterized. The transcript is spliced from 2 exons. The record is from RefSeq and is a predicted model, not a curated record. NCBI's taxonomy places the organism in Eukaryota, Metazoa, Chordata, Actinopteri, Siluriformes, Siluridae.